UUCCCGGAUGUAGCUCAGCGGUUCUUUCGGCUAAGGCAUCAGCUUCUAACCACUUGCGAGGUGGUUCGAGAUCCGCGGGCGUUCUCCAGUUUU
This 93-nucleotide vault RNA is filed under the name Equus asinus (donkey). Its description in RNAcentral is "Vault RNA (ENSEASG00005018056.2, ENSEASG00020016230.1)". It matches the Rfam family "Vault RNA". From Rfam's summary of the family: This family of RNAs are found as part of the enigmatic vault ribonucleoprotein complex. The complex consists of a major vault protein (MVP), two minor vault proteins (VPARP and TEP1), and several small untranslated RNA molecules. The record is from Rfam by way of RNAcentral. Lineage: Eukaryota; Metazoa; Chordata; Mammalia; Perissodactyla; Equidae.